RNAcentral lists this non-coding RNA (534 nucleotides) under Pongo abelii (Sumatran orangutan). The record is from RNAcentral. Lineage: Eukaryota; Metazoa; Chordata; Mammalia; Primates; Hominidae.
GUUGGCAAUGUCAGGUUAAGAAAAUAUGUGUGUGGCCAGGCGCGGUGGCUCACACCUGUAAUCCCAGCACUUUGGGAGGCUGAGGCAGGCGAAUCACUUGAGGCCAGGAGUUCUAGACCAGCCUGGCCAACAUGGUGAAACCCCGUCUCUACUAAAAGCACAAAAAUUAGCCAAGCGUGGUGGCAGGCACCUGUAGUCCCAGCUACUUGGGAGGCUGAAGCAGGAGAAUCGCUUGAACCCAGGAGGUGGAGGUUGCAGUGAGCUGAGAUUGCACCACUGCACUCCAGCCUGGGCAACAGAGUGAGACUCUUGUCACACACACAAAAAAAAACCAAGAAGAAAAUUGUGUGUGUGUGUGUAUCCAGAGAGUUAAAUAUACCAUUUUCCCAUUUUAGGGACAAAGAAACUGAGACUCAGGUGAGGUCACCUGCCCGAGCGAUGCGGCUAGUUGGCAGCAGAGUGGGACCGGAACCCUGCUGCCAGCAAAGGAUAGUGGGGGCUGAGUGGGACUUCCUUCUGGACAACAGAGGGGAG